RNAcentral lists this ribosomal RNA (252 nucleotides) under uncultured bacterium. Its description in RNAcentral is "partial 16S ribosomal RNA". It matches the Rfam family "Bacterial small subunit ribosomal RNA", at positions 524 to 776 of the family's 1533-position model. The record is from RNAcentral.
CACGUAGGGGGCGAGCGUUAUCCGGAAUCAUUGGGCGUAAAGGGUGCGUAGGCGGCCUUUUAAGCGCGGGGUCUAAGGCGGUGGCCCAACCACCGUUCGCCCCGCGAACUGGAGGGCUAGAGGGUCGGAGAGGGAAGCGGAAUUCCUAGUGUAGCGGUGAAAUGCGUAGAUAUUAGGAGGAACACCAGUGGCGAAGGCGGCUUCCUGGACGAAGACUGACGCUGAGGCACGAAAGCGUGGGGAGCGAACAGG